AGAAUCAACGCUGGCGGCGUGCCUAACACAUGCAAGUCGAGCGCGAAAGGGGAGCAAUCCCCGAGUAGAGCGGCGAACGGGUGAGUAACGCGUGGGUAAUCUACCUCCGAGUGGGGAACAACAGCGGGAAACUGCUGCUAAUACCGCAUGACAUCGUCGAGCCUUCGGGCCUGACGAUCAAAGCCGGGGACCGCAAGGCCUGGCGCUUGGAGAGGAGCCCGCGUCCGAUUAGCUAGUUGGCGGGUAAUGGCCCACAAGGCUCCGAU
Molecule: ribosomal RNA, 266 nt
Filed under: uncultured soil bacterium
Lineage: Bacteria
Description: partial 16S ribosomal RNA
Rfam family: Bacterial small subunit ribosomal RNA
Source: RNAcentral